Molecule: transfer RNA, 72 nt
Filed under: Erinaceus europaeus (western European hedgehog)
Lineage: Eukaryota; Metazoa; Chordata; Mammalia; Eulipotyphla; Erinaceidae
Rfam family: tRNA
About the family: Transfer RNA (tRNA) molecules are approximately 80 nucleotides in length. Their secondary structure includes four short double-helical elements and three loops (D, anti-codon, and T loops).
Source: Rfam by way of RNAcentral
AGGGAUGUGGCUCAGUAGUAGAGUGCAUGCUUUAUAUUUAUGAGUCCCAGGGUUCAAUCCCUGGUACCACAA